GACGAACCGUGCGAACGUUGUUCGGAAUCACUGGGCUUAAAGGGCGCGUAGGCGGCGGGUCAAGUCCGGGGUGAAAGCCCCCAGCUCAACUGGGGAAGUGCCCCGGAUACUGAUUCGCUCGAGGGAGGUAGGGGCGGAUGGAACUUCCGGUGGAGCGGUGAAAUGCGUUGAUAUCGGAAGGAACGCCGGUGGCGAAAGCGAUCCGCUGGCCCUCUACUGACGCUGAGAAGCGAAAGCGUGGGGAGCAAACAGG
RNAcentral lists this ribosomal RNA (253 nucleotides) under uncultured bacterium. RNAcentral describes it as "partial 16S ribosomal RNA". It matches the Rfam family "Bacterial small subunit ribosomal RNA", at positions 524 to 776 of the family's 1533-position model. The record is from RNAcentral.